Molecule: ribosomal RNA, 94 nt
Filed under: Shigella sonnei
Lineage: Bacteria; Pseudomonadati; Pseudomonadota; Gammaproteobacteria; Enterobacterales; Enterobacteriaceae
Source: RNAcentral
CCCACCUGACCCCAUGCCGAACUCAGAAGUGAAACGCCGUAGCGCCGAUGGUAGUGUGGGGUCUCCCCAUGCGAGAGUAGGGAACUGCUAGGCA